Molecule: transfer RNA, 73 nt
Filed under: Rhodospirillales bacterium
Lineage: Bacteria; Pseudomonadati; Pseudomonadota; Alphaproteobacteria; Rhodospirillales
Description: tRNA-Val
Rfam family: tRNA
About the family: Transfer RNA (tRNA) molecules are approximately 80 nucleotides in length. Their secondary structure includes four short double-helical elements and three loops (D, anti-codon, and T loops).
Source: RNAcentral
AGGCGCGUAGCUCAACGGUAGAGCGCUGCCUUUACCCGGCAGAGGUCGAGGGUUCGACUCCCUUCCGCGCCUA